UACGUAGGGCGCAAGCGUUAUCCGGAAUUAUUGGGCGUAAAGAGCUCGUAGGCGGCUUGUCGCGUCCGGUGUGAAAGUCCAUCGCUCAACGGUGGAUUUGCGCCGGGUACGGGCAGGCUGGAGUGCGGCAGGGGAGACUGGAAUUCCCGGUGUAACGGUGGAAUGUGUAGAUAUCGGGAAGAACACCAAUGGCGAAGGCAGGUCUCUGGGCCGUUACUGACGCUGAGGAGCGAAAGCGUGGGGAGCGAAC
Molecule: ribosomal RNA, 250 nt
Filed under: uncultured bacterium
Lineage: Bacteria
Description: partial 16S ribosomal RNA
Rfam family: Bacterial small subunit ribosomal RNA
Source: RNAcentral